Long non-coding RNA from Eptesicus fuscus (big brown bat), 1532 nucleotides. RefSeq lists it as uncharacterized. The record is from RefSeq and is a predicted model, not a curated record. The transcript is spliced from 3 exons. NCBI's taxonomy places the organism in Eukaryota, Metazoa, Chordata, Mammalia, Chiroptera, Vespertilionidae.
CGGCGGACGCGCGCUCCCGGCCGCCCCGGGAGGCCGCCUCCUGCCGGAUUCCGAGCGGGUUUUCUGGACCUUUCGGCGGAGAAACCCGCCCCGCAGCCGCGCCCACUCCGCGCCGGAGAGGGAGGAAGGCGCCCCGGACCCGGCGCCCAGCCCGCCCGGCAGACGGGUGGACGUCAGGAAAGGGGUGAAGAGGAGAGAAAAACAGGCCCGUUAAUGCUUUUUCCAGCCUGAUGCUGGGUUUGACUCACGCUCACUGCUGAUGCCAUCGGCCGCGGCGGGUAACGAAGAGAAGCCAGAAUCCUGCAGCUGCCUGGGCUGGGCGGUGGUGUUCGAACUCCAGGGCCUGCUCUCUGCAGUGGCCUUGCUUCCUGAGGAACGACCCCGGACUUCCGCACGGGGGACAGAUUCGUGCACAAAACUGCGGCCCGGUGACAGACUCACCGGGAAUGGGAGCGGACCUUUUCCAUUUCACGUGCCUGGAGCACCUAGCACGGUGCCCGAGACAAAUAUUUGUCAAAUGAGUGAAUGAAAGUCCUUGUUCACUGCUUCUCCCGCGAGCAGGGUUUCAUGGCUCCUGAGAGCAAGAUCUCCUCUGUCCUGGGGGAGGACAUAGCCAGUAACUUCCCAAAAGCUUUGCCAGGCCCGGCUGGCGUGGCUCAGCGGUUGAGAGUCAACCUGUGAACCAGGAGGUCACAGUUCGAUCCCCGGUCAGGGCCCAGGCCCAGGUUAGGACCGGGCUCGAUCCCCAGGGUGGGGCGUGCAGGAGGCAGCCGGUCAGUGGUUCUCUCUCAUCCUUGAUGCGUCUCUCUCUCCCUCUCUUCUUCUCUGAAAUCAGUAAAAAAAAUAAAUAAAAGCAUUUGCAGGGUGUGGGUUGCCUUUCAAAGAUGGCCAUUCUCUGACUCGGAGGAGUCAACCCUCCGAGAAGCAUCACCCGUGAGUGACUCCUGGCAGCAGCUUCCUUCCUCCCCGCCUCCUUCCCCAUCCCCUCCGCCCCCGCCCCUGUGUGGGGAGACUGACUAGGUUCCCACGGCCCGGCCAGGAGACCCAGCUGGAAGCAGUCGGAGGCAGUGAGCAGGAGCGGGCCGGCCGGCCAGGAAGUGAAGUUGGCUAGAGCAUUCGGCUGCCAAGAGCCGGCGGGGGACGGGGAGCGGACGGAUGCCCAGCCAGACAGCGGCGCCGAUAAACCUUGCCGGGGAGGCGUCCGUGAAGCCCACACACCCAUCCUCCCCAGCAGAGCUUCCAGUGAGGAACAGAGCAGGACUCGCACCCAGGCCCGGGGUUCGUGUCCACCACGAUCCCACUACACCUCGUGUGGGCGGCACCGCUGACGGCAGGGCUCCCACAUCGCAAAGACGCUGCUGUGCGUGGCCGUGCCGGGCUGCACCCCGAUGAUGAAAACCUUCCCCAAAAUUAGUCGGGACAGCCCGUGUGGCUCAGUGGUUGAGGCUAUGAACCAGGAGGUCACGUUUCGAUUCCCGGGUUGUGGGUUCCAUCCCCAGUGUGGGGCAUGCAGGAGGCAGCCGAUCCAUGAU